RNAcentral lists this long non-coding RNA (21912 nucleotides) under Marmota monax (woodchuck). The record is from RNAcentral. Lineage: Eukaryota; Metazoa; Chordata; Mammalia; Rodentia; Sciuridae.
GGGCGGGGCCUGGCGAGGCCGCGAAGGGCGGGUGGGGCUCGGCCGCUCGCCCGGGAGCUCCACUCGGGCUCCGGCCCGCAGAGGCGGCUCCGGAGGGGCGGGCCGGCUCCACCCCCGGGCCCGCCGCCCGUCCGUCGCGCGCCCGCGCCUCCCAAUUCCCGGAGCCGGGUCGGGGCUCGAGGCGGCGGCGGCGGCGGCUCCACUGGGCUCGGGUUGGCCGGCCAGGCGCGGGGCAGGGCGGGCGGCGGCAGGGCGGUGGAUCGCGCGGAGGGCGGUGGCCUGGCCCGCUGAGCCAUGGCGGCCCCGGAGCCGGCGCCGAGGCGGAGCCGGGAGCGGGAGCGGGAGGACGAGAGUGAGGACGAGAGCGACAUCCUGGAGGAGAGCCCAUGCGGACGCUGGCAGAAGCGGCGCGAGCAGGUGGGCACCGGCGGGGUGACGCCGCUCUCCCGGAGCCCCCGGGGACGCGAGGCCACGCGGGGCCGUGGGGGCCCUGUGGCCGCGCGGCGGCCUCUCCACAACCCACGUCCUGGGUGGCCCUUGGCCCUCUUGCCUGGGACCCACGCCCUGGUGAGGAACCUCCAUUCCCUGAGGACCAGUCUCCUUCAGGAGACUUCCUGGUCCCUCCCCACGACUCUGGGAUUCACCGCUAGACCCUAGGGGUUCACGCUCAAGAACCUGAAGCCGCUUCUAUCCACCUCUGCCCAGCCCCUGGAUAUCACCCCUGGACUGCUGCGGGCCAACCCGGGUCCUGGCCCUCAGCUUUCCCAUAGAGCGCAUCCGGCCCGAAGCGCACUCUGGCCAAGAGAAGGGUGUGAGAGGGACCAAGUCCCCAACCUCGCCCUAACACAAACGGGAGCAUUUGUACCCCGUCCCCAGGUGAACCAGGGGAAUAUGCCCGGGAUCCAGAGCACAUUCCUGGCCAUGGACACGGAGGAGGGGGUAGAAGUGGUGUGGAACGAGCUCCACUUUGGCGACAGGAAGGCUUUCGCAGCCCAUGAGGUGAAUCCCAUCGCCCUCGUCCCCAGUCCUGUCCCGUGAUGGCCCAUGACUGCCCCCCUCCUCCCAGGAGAAGAUCCAGGCCAUGUUUGAGCAGCUGGCGCUGGUGGACCACCCCAACAUCGUCAAGCUGCACAAGUACUGGCUGGAUGCCUCUGAGGCCCGUGCAAGGGUGAGCUACUGGGCGGAGUGGGGGCGGGGCGUGGCCUCGGUCUGGGUGGAGCAACUGCGGGGACCCACCCGCAGUGGCGGAGCCGUGAGCCCGCCCGCCCCACAGGUCAUUUUCAUCACGGAGUACGUGUCAUCAGGCAGCCUCAAGCAAUUCCUCAAAAAGACCAAGAAAAACCACAAGGCCAUGAAUGCCCGGGUAGGGGGAGUAGGCUGGGGACAGGGAAGGGAGGGUGGCCUCUGGGAAAGGGAUGGGACUGGACACCGGUCAGCCCCGGAAAGGGGCGGGGCGGCGGGUGGGCUUCGCAGGCCCUGCCACUUCUCCUGCGCCCACCCGACGGGAGUCCUGCGUCCGCUGCCAGGCCUGGAAGAGAUGGUGCACGCAGAUCCUGUCCGCGCUCAGGUGAGGACCUAGGCUUGUCCGCCUGCUUGCCCUGCUGCGCCGACCUCUCCGGCGCCCUGUGACCCGGCUCCGCCUGCUCUCCCCCAACGCCUGCAGUUUUCUGCACGCCUGCAGCCCCCCCAUCAUCCACGGGAACCUGACCAGCGACACCAUCUUCAUUCAGCAUAACGGCCUCAUCAAGAUCGGCUCUGGUGCUGGCGGGGAGGGGCUGGGCAGGGGGGCAGGGCUGGGGGAACCUGUCGCAAGUCGAGAUCAGAGGACACCCCACGCCCCAGGCCGCUGACACCCGCUCUUUCUCCCUGUGGUCUCCUUCACAGUGUGGUACCGCAUCUUCUCCAAUGGUUCGUGCGGGAUAGGGGUGGGGAUGGGAGCCCUGGUCAGGCCGGUCUGCUCAGCGCCUCUGCCCCUUCUUUAGCGCUCCCGGAUGAUCUAAGGAGCCCCAUCCUUGCUGAGCGAGAGGAACUUCGGAACUUGCACUUCUUCCCACCAGAGUAUGGCGGUGAGUCUUGGAGGGACCUGUGGCACCUACCCAGCCUGCACAUCAGUCCUACCCACCUGCCUCUUCCUUUUCAGAAGUUGCAGAUGGGACCGCUGUGGACAUCUUCUCUUUUGGGAUGUGUGCACUGGAGGUACUGGCACCUUUCCUCCUAGCCCAUUCCCAGCUGGCCUCCACCCCAUCUCACCGGUGCUGUCCCUUCCCCAUGUUGGCCCUGCAACCUCAGAUGGCUGUGCUGGAGAUCCAGGCUAAUGGGGAUACCAGAGUCACAGAGGAGGCCAUUGUUCGAGCCAGGCACUCACUGAAUGACCCCAACAUGCGAGUAAGCAGCUUGCCACUACCCCUACCCCCAGCCUGAAUUGAUGUGCCCAGUGUAGGGCCAUUGAGGUACAUAGGCAGGCCAGAGGUAUGGCCAGGUUAAUGCAGGGGAAGGGUGUGCCAACCUCCGGCCCACUGUCAAGAAAGACUCCACUAAGAGCUCAUGCAGGGUUGCAGGCCGGAAUGGAUCAGAGUAUUAAAAGAACAAGGAAACCAGAGAGACAUUCCCUAUGUAGGUACUGUUUUAUAUCAGUAAUAAGGCCUAGAGAGGCUGAGGCUGCCCAAGGCAGUGGAGUGAGCAUCUGCACCCAGAUCUGCCUGACUCCAGGUCCCUGCCUUUAAGAUCCAGGUCCAGCUUGUGUGGAGGGCUGUGGUGGGCACAGGGCAGGCAAGGGAGAUAGAGGGUGGAAGCCACACAGCAUUUCUGGUCCAAAUCCAGUGGCUUUGGACCAGAAAUGCUGUGUGGCUUGCAUGGCUUCUGUGGACGGGAGAUGGGAGAACGGGACCUGACUGGGCAUGAGAGGCCAAGGAGGGCACCAAUGUCUGCAGGGUAGGGACGAACCAAAGGUCAUCUCCAGAGCUGGGUCUAAGUUGGGGUGAUCAAAAGGGUUAGACUGUGGGUAGGAGAACCUGCAUCUGUGAAUUGGGGGUCAUAGCACUCAUUCCCCGCAAUUCCUAUGAAAGUCAAGGAAAAUAGAGCUGAUGUUCUCAUGAGAUGCUGUCUCCUGUGCAUGUUCCUGCAGCAUCCCUGAGUGGGGAGGACAUGGGGAUUGGGCCCCUGGGUCCUGGGGGCUCCAGGGUACCUGCUGUCUUCACACUGUGGGGUUAGAGCAGAGAGCCUGCCCCACCCACCUCUCCUCCCCACCCCAGGAGUUCAUCCUCUCCUGCCUGGCCCGGGACCCUGCCCGACGGCCUUCUGCUCACAACCUCCUCUUCCACCGAGUGCUCUUCGAGGUACACUCGCUGAAGCUGCUGGCAGCUCACUGCUUUAUCCAGCACCAGUGUAAGAACCAGGCAGCGGGCUGGGCCAGGGACCUAGGGUUGGAAUACAGACGAGGCCUUGCAGGGCCUGUGACUCAGGCCCACCACCCUGAGUACUGCUGCGGCCCACAGACCUCAUGCCUGAGAAUGUGGUGGAAGAGAAGACCAAGGCCAUGGACCUGCAGGCUGUCUUGGCAGAGGUCCCCAGGCCCCAGCGGCCCCCAAUGCAAUGGCGGUGAGCAGCGGUUGCCCAACAGCCUCCCCUCUCGCUCCCUGCCUGCCCCUGGCCAGCUACCACUCAUGCGCCUCCUGCCCUGUGCCAGGUACUCAGAGGUCUCCUUCUUGGAGCUGGACAAAUUCCUGGAGGAUGUCAGGUGAGAGCUGGUGUGAGACUGGGAACAGGCUCUUCCGGGCCUGAGCCCCCAGCCGUAUCCUGGUGUGUCCCCAGGAAUGGGAUCUACCCACUGAUGAAUUUUGCUGCUGCUCGGCCCCUGGGGCUGCCCCGUGUAUUGGCUCCACCCCUGGAGGAGGCCCAGAAGGUCAAGACCCCGACUCCAGAGCCCUUUGACUCCGAGACCAGGAAGGCAGGUUUCUACUCCUGCUGUGUGAGCUGAUCUGACAACAGGCACCCUUCUCUUGGGGUCUGCUUGCACUGUAACCCAGCUGUCCUCCAGGCUGGGAGGCCAGAUCUAGGCUGGCCCCUUUUGGGGGCUAGGAGUCUGUAGGACAAGCUGGGAUACCUGUCUUUCCCAGAGGUUCUUCAUUCCUGUAGACUCUCUCCCACCCUGCUGCCUGCCUCCAUCCCUCAGUGCACUGAACAGCUUUCCUCUAGGAGUCUCACACACCACCCCCAGCUCUGACCACAACCCCUGGUUUGCUUACUCCCAGACUCUUACAUCCUGGGACUUCCCCCUCAGGCCCCCAGGCACCAUGUUUCCCCAAACCUCCCUUCCUGCAGGGCUGCCUCCUGGCCAGGGUCCUCUCCUGGUCAGCCUCAGCCCCUCCCUCUCUUGUUCAUGCCUGUACCCAGGUCCUCGGGGGCCUGGAGUCAGGCAGACCUGGAUGCAAAUGCUCACUCCACUGCCUUGGGCAGCCUCAGCCUCUCUAGGCCUUAUUACUGUUAUAAAACAGUUAGUACCUACCUAGGGAAUGUCUCUCUGGUUUCCUUGUUCUUUCAAUGCUCUGACCCCUUCAGGCCUGCAACCCUGCAUGAGCUCUUAACGGAGCUGACUCUGGCCUUAGAUGUGUCCUAUGGCCACUUCUCUGAUCCUGGCUACCACCAUUCCUCAACUGAUAAUCAACCAAUCCCUGCCUGGCCUCCUUCCCCCUGGCUUCCUUCCUUCUAGUGCAGCCUGAGUUCAAGUCCUAACAGUCAAAGCUGCCUGGCUCCUGGCCGCCCAGAGAGUUCAAGUCGCAGUCCAAGCCCCAGGCUCUUCAGGCCUAUUCUUGCUGGUUCCCUGCACUUGGGAGCUGUCACAUCCAGACUGACCUCUCUCUCCCCUGCUUCCAGAGUUCCCUCCUUUUCAAAGCAAUUUCUCUACUCUGAAAACUCCUAUUCACCCUUCAGUACCCAGCCCCAGUGCCUACUGGAAGUUUGCCUUAACAGCCAAGUAACCAGCACUGAAAUUGCUUUCUAGAUUCCCCUUGGAGAUUUUUACCAUUUUAAUCCCAGUUGUCCUUUCUGGGCCUCUUGGCUGAGUUCCAGCCCUUGUAACCCUGGCCUCCUGGUCCCCAGGUGAUCCAUAUGCAGUGCAACCUGGAAAGGAGUGAGGACAAGGCACGCUGGCAUGUGAGCAGGGCCCUGGGCUGGGCUGGGAAAGGAAGGGCCUGCCAACUUUGACUUGGCACCGACCACACCCUCCUGCCCCAGCUCACAUUGCUUCUGGUGCUGGAGGACAGACUGCACAGGCAGCUGACCUACGACCUGCUUCCAAGUAGGCGACUGGGAACCCCAGGCUGCAGGCCUGAAGGCGGGUGGUGGGCAGUGGUUGGUGCCACAGCCUUAUGAGUUCCCAUGUGCCCUUGUUGCAGCGGACAGCGCCCAGGACCUCGCGGCUGAGCUGGUGCACUACGGCUUCCUGCGAGAGGUUGGCAGGGUGGGGCGUGGUGUGGCUUGCUGGGAGGGUGCAGGGCUGCUCUGCCGCGGGUCCCCCAUGCCUCCCUCCCCUCUUUAGGAUGACCGGUUGAAGCUGGCCAUCUUCCUGGAGACCACCUUCCUCAAGUACCGUGGGGCCCAGGCCUGAUCCUUCCAGCCCUGGAAGCCCUGCCCUGGCUCUGCUGGCUCAGGGCUGUCCCUGUGGGGAAGAGUCCAGCACUUCUUGGAGUUGCCUUUUGCCUGCUAGCCUGGGAGCUGAUGAGCACCUGCCCUGCUCGUGAGGAUCCCUGGCCUCCUUCAGCAGCAUGGGACCCUGAGGUGGUGGUUCAGUGGCUGAGGCAGCCAGCGUGGGAGUACAGGGUGGGAUCUUCCAUGGACAGACCUCCACCAGGGGAAUCACUCCAUCACUCUGGGUUGAACAGCCAUCCUAAGUUGGCACCACAGACCCAGGCAGGGUGCCUGGACCUCAUAAUGUGAUGGGGCCCCUGCAGCUGUCAUAACCAGUGCUGGGCAUCAAGCAGGGCCAGACCCGGCUGGAAAGAGGGUAAAGAGCCUGGAAUUGAGACCAUGGUCAGCAAAGCCCCUGGUCCCAUGCAGAACAGCCCUGAAGUCCCCCUCUCUGACCUUGCUCUGAGACCAGGAUCUGGGGCUCUGGCACCAUCACCAAUACCCCGCUCCUCUAAUGGGCUAUUUCUCUCCUGUAUUACCUGGCAUGGAGAGGUCAGAGGUCAGGUGUCCUCCCAGACCUCCUCCCUGGAGCAGCUGUAUUCUGGGCCUGGAGAUGUGGGCUUCUGUUUCUCUGUCUCUGUCUCCCACCCAACUCCUAUCUGGAUUUUAGAGGUUUCAUUACUUCCAUGGAUUCUGCCUCCACCUCCAGCGCCCUUUCUUGAACUGCCUCUCCUCCAAUUUCAAAUUCAGCUAAAUGAUCUCAAACAUUUUAAAUUGUAUGUAUAAAUUUAAUGUAUUCAGGUUUCUGUUUAAGCAUUUCAAAUGUCAAACCAGGAAGGCUCACUAACUGUAUUAGUUCUAUAUUGUUGCUGUAACAUUUAUCACAACCUUAGUGGCUCAAAACAACACAAGUUUAUUAUAAUUAUGUAGGUCAGAGUCUGAUACGAGUCUCACUAGACUAAAAUCAAGGUGUUGGCAGGUGGUGUUUUCCUAGGUUGGCAGGUGGUGAAGAUCCUAGGGGAGCACCUGCUUCCUGCUCAUUCAGGUGUUGGCAGAAUUCACUUCUACACAGUGGUGGGUCCUGUUUUCCUGCUGGCAGUCAACUGGGGACCACUCUCCAUUACCAGAAGCAGCCUGCAUUCCUUGGCUCUCCUUCCUCCACUCAAAGGCAGCAGCAGUAGGUUGAAUUUUAGCGUGAGCCAGAUAUCUGGUUGUCUAAAGCCAGGAAGGUUCUCCAUAAGGACUCCUGCCUGCAAUUGGGUGGACUCCCCCCAGAUAAUCCAGGAAAAUUGCCCCUCUCAGGGUCUCUAAGAUUAAUCACAUCUGCAGGCAUAUAUUUUGCCAUAUUAAGUUAAUCCACUGAUUUGGGAAUGGAUAUCUUUGGCAGGGGGCAUUCUCCCUACCAUACCCCCUUAACCAAAAGCCCAAAACCAAACCAGAUUUGCCAAGGCAUAUCAAAUAAAUUAAAUGAACAACUAUAAUGAAUCUCAAGUUAUUUUAAACAUUCUAGUACUCUUUACAAAUAUUUUCAGAUUCUCAUACCUUUCAUCUUAAAAUUGCAGAUUUCAAAUAACCUGCACAUUCUAGGAGAGAAUCCUGUUGCUAAAAUGAUUGUGCAUAGUCUUCAACAGUUUGAGUGGCAAUCACACAACUGAUCUGAACUUAAAAACACCGAUACUAAAGUUGCUGCAUUUAGUCAUGCCUACCUGAGUUUUUAAUGUUAAGUUCUAUCUUUUCAGAAUUAUAUGCAUAUUAUUUUUAAAAUGGAAUGGUAUGUGUGAGGCCAAUAAUAAAUGCAGUCUCCUACCCUGACUUUCCCCCCGUUCACCACUCUUAGCUGUUUCUGCAGACAUUCAGAACCCACAUUUUUCCACCCUCAAGCACACUUUAGUCCUAUGUAUUGGUUGUUCUACAUGAGGUGUCUCCAGGUGGCAUCCUCUGGAGGAAGGAGUCCUCUGCCUCUGAAACAUCACCCCAGUGUGAUGGGCAUUAUAGUUCUCUGGGUGUGAGUAAGCUUCAUUACCAAAAGUCUCCACAAAGAACAAGGUAUCCUAGUCUAGGUUAUAUUUUCUUUCUUGUACAACCUUUUCUGUUUUCCCUGGAGUUAAUAAUUGUCUUUUUUUUUUUUUUUUGCUUAGUUUUCUGAUAUGUAUGCCAUUAAUUCAUUUUUAGAUUUCCCCGUGUAAGUGUGACUCUCCUCUCAAUACUCCACAAUCAAGGCAUAACUGACUAGUUUCUUCUUCCUGGAGUCCCCAACUUGUUCUUGUAUUCUGGCCCUACUGUUAGCCUGGGUCCCCUUCACCAGGGUCCUGGAGCCCUUACUCUGUGACUGCAUCCCAUGCUUUCCUCUUCCUUUGCUGCCCUGAGAAGCAACAUCUUUCAAGUUGCCUGGGAGAGGAUGCAUGGAAGAUUAUGGGUUCUUUCUCUGUUUGUCCUUAUUCAGACCUCACACGUUUUUAAGUGUAUCUGGAUACAAGAAGUUUGAUUUGGUUGAAAGUCACCUGUCCUAAGAUUUUGAAGGUGUCAUGUCAUUUUCUUCUAGUUCCAAGAACUCUCCAUGCCUCUGUGAAUGCUGGCCCUUUGCCUACAAGCUCUUCUCUCUCAUUUUCUCUCAAUCUUUUCUUUGCCCCAGUAACUGUUUCAUCCAUUGUCCAGAGAUGAAAAUUUUCUUGAAUUACUUCUUUCUUUAUUUUCCCCUUUCCUUAUAUUCUGGACAAUUUAUUGAGAUGUCGGACACAUCUUUUGAGAGAUGCAAUCAUGUGUCUAGGUGCCCGGGCUCUGAGCAGAUCUGCUGCUCCCUGCAGCAUGAGCUCAGUUGUGCCUGUACUUCCUCAUCUGGAGCAGUGGAGGGAGACCCUCUGCAAAGGGUCACUGUAAGGUUGGCAUGAGCUCCUGUGUGAGAAGCCAGAACAGUGUCUGGAACCAAGCAUCUGUCCCUGAAAGCUGCCCCCAGACAGUAGUGCUUGGGGCUCCCCUGGUGGUAGUGGUGAGAUCCAGCCCCAGGUUUCUGUGCCUGGAGAGUACUGACUUGCUCUGAUUAUGAUACUUGACAUUUUCUAGCUAUCUGGCUUUGUUGUUAUGCAUUCUGGAAGAUUUCAACUUUAUCUUUCAAUCCUAUAGAACUGCUCAUGUCCUUUUCACAUUUCUCUUUUUUCGGGGGGGGGGGGCAUGUACCAAGGAUUGAACUCAUGGGCACUCAACUAUUAAGCCAAAUCCUUAGCACCCCCCCCUUUUAAAUUUUAUUUAGAGACAAGGUCUAAGCACCUCGUUGUUGCUGAAGCUGUCUUUGAACUCGCAAUCCUCUUGCCUCAGCCUCCCAAGCUGCUGGGAUUAUAGGCGUGUGCCACCAGGCCCCUCUCACAUUUUUUCAUUUGGAAUCUCUCUCUCUGUCUCUCUCUCUCUCUCGUUUGAUUAAUCUUCCUCCACAGAAAACCUGGGAGAGGAUGCAUAGAAGAUUAUGGGUUCUUGGUUUUUGGAUGUGACAUCUCUGAGGAUGUCUGAGCUUCGCUUUCUUCCUCUGCUCCUCUCCUCAUCCUCAAAUGCUGUGAUUCUGGACUGGCCAGUUGCAUUUAAGAGUAAGGUAUCCUUCGUGCCUGGGGCUUGUUAUCUGGUGAACUUGGAGGCCAGGCGUCUGGCUGGCAUUCUACUAGACACCCCAGCUGCUAAUCUUUUCUUUUGAGCUGCUGCAGAAAGAAGAGUCUGUGGAGGCUGGUGCCACAUGUGGGGAGGCCAAGCUUUGAAAAGGAGGGUAGAGGAGGUAGGGGAAAGGGCAGGAGUCUCACUGCCCCACUUUCAGAACAGGGCCAGGCCUCAGUGCCCCUCUCCUGGAGCCCCAAAGUACCUGUAAGCCCUGGAGGUAGGGACGGAGGCCUGGAUUCUUCUCAGAUACUGACAUCCACAAUCCAGUCUGCUAAAGUAGCUCUGCUUCCACCCUUCCCCAGCUCGGCGUCCCACACCCUUACCCUCGUGUUAUUUGCCUUUUUAACGCUACUUUUCUGUCAUUUUAGAGGGGUUUCAGGAGGGAGGGGAGGAAAUUAUUCUGCCAUAUUUUACUACAGGUGUCUAUAUUCAAUUCUAAAAUUUUCCAAGGUUGGUAAGAGACCUUAGCCAGGGAAGACACUUUGUUGCCUUAGAUAGCUGAAGAUGCCUGAAUUUACAGAAGUGGUUUCUUCCAGGUAUAUAACUGAGUUGAGGUUUUGGGACUGAGUACAGCCUAUGGCAAAUGUCAGGCGAGCUCUUCACACAGUACAGAUGGACACGUGGGCACCUUUAAACGUAGCUCAGGGCUUACUGGAACCUCCUUGCAUACUGUUCCUACAGGAUAGGCUCCUGAGCCAUCUUCUGGAAUGCAGGGCCACCGACUGCAUGUCAUUCCAUCUAGGAAGCAAAGCACCCAUUCAAAUCACUAGUAAGGAAAACAGGCUGACAAUUAAACGGAGUCUCCUGACUUCGGAGAUGUUACAAUGCAAAACGAUGCUUCUCAAAACCAGUGCGGUCUCAGCUGUCCACGCAGACUCCCUCGGCCCGGGGGUGGACGGACCGCUCUUUUCCCCGCCACCUCACGGAGAGUAAGCGGACGUCUGGUGCAGUUUGCAGCCGGCAGAGGGUGAGUGGCGGAGCUGGGCGUGACGCAAGCCUGCGCGCAGCGGACCGCCUCUCCCCGCCCGCUCCUCCAGUGAGCCCCGCCCGUCUCGAGGCGCUCACUGUUCCUCGCCUCCCGGAAGCGCGUUCCUCCCUCCACGUCGCAGGCACAAAGUCGUUAUCGCGAGAGUUUCUAUGCCGGCGCCCAGAUCGCGCGAGACUGCGGAAGAAGCGGGAGCGUGUGGCGCGCGCGGCGGCCGCGACGGACGCAAGAUGGCGACGGCGACCAUAGCUCUCGUAAGUGAGCCCCCCACGGCCGCGGGCGGCCCUCGACUGUUGGGAGCGGGUCUUCUGCCCGGCCAGUGCGCGGAGGGCCCCCGGAGACGCGGCGGUCUCCCCGGGCCCCGCGCGGAGCCCCUGCAGCCGUGGGGCGCGCGGGGCGGGGGCGGGGCGGGCGCGCGCCAGCGGCGGGCCCGCGGCUGCAGCUUCCGGCCCGUGGACUCCAGCUUCCGGCGGCGCGGCUGGUGGGCCGGCCCGGCACCGGCCUAGGGUCGCUGGCGCGCAGUGCGCCCACGGUCCCGGCGUCCGCUCCCGGAGUGCGCCCCGGCGCGGUGGAGCGGGAGGACGGGCCUCGGCUUCCGCCGGUGCUCUGCAAGGAAGCGCGGCCGAGGAGGACGUCCUCCCUCGUCGCACGUCUCCGGGCAGUCGCUCUGUCCCACGCUCUGUGGGAGUCUUUGGAGCGCAGUGAGGAACCAGGCAGAGGCAGUCACCGCCUCGGUCCGCGGUCUGGUGGCACCAGUGACCGCCUACCCUCCCGGUGCCUGGUGCUGGGCGGCCGAGGGAGUGUGCUCAGGUUGCGUGGGCGCUCAGAGGAGCCCCUCCCUGCUCCGCUCUGCCCGCCUCCGCCGGCGCGGAGGGUGCAGGAAGCGUUAGUGUAGAGGGAGAGCCCUGUGCACAACACCGACACCGCCGCCCGUCCUUCCCACUUGGCCUAAGCUGCCCUCCGCUCCUGGACCCUUUCCCUCUGCACUUCACCCCUUUGUUACCUGCUAUUCUCCCCCAGCCUACACCCGGAGGGAUGGGCUAAGGUCUGUUUGAGGAGGCACCUUGGUCGGAUCCAUAAGAUCAGGGAGUGCAGGGGGGGCUGCCGUUGACAGGCUCUGAGCUGAAAGUUGGGGCAGAAAUUGUAGGAUGCCUCAGCGUGUGAGGUACAACCCAGUGUGUGAACCUUACAUCAUGGAUAACUUUCUACCCUGCCUUGCUGUUUCUUGAAGCCAUAUGAACAAAUGAAGCCAGAGGGCUGAGGACUUGAUGCUUGUCCUUGGGCAGCAGUGCAAGUUGAUGGCAAAGGAGAGGGAGGCUCUGAGACAAGGAUUAGAUACCUGGGAAGGUGUAAGAGAGUGAAUGGCUCAGCUCAGGGGGACUUCGGGGUGAGCUGGGGUUCAGCUCUAUUAUGGUGCAAUGGGAGACAGGUAGUGUCAUUGUUGAGAUGGACAUGGGCAGCAAACUGGGGUUUUCAGUGGGGUGUUUGUUGCCCUUGAAAUCUCCCAGGCUUGCGACAGCAAGCUCUGGAGGUCUGACAACGUUUCUCUUUUAAUCUUGUAUUUGUGUGUGUGUGUGUCUGUGUGUGUGUGUUUGGUGUAGAUGAUUGAACUCAGGGCCUUUAAGCCCACUCUUCCACUGAGCUGCACCCCCAUUCCCCGCUGUGCAGGCUAGGCACAGUGAGAGCCUGUUCUCACUGUCAUGGUGCUUCAGCUUUUGUGGGAGGGCGAAUGGAGUUGCUGAAAUGGGCUGAUACAGUUGGGGUAGGGAAGGAUGCAGAAGAGUCUCAUCUCUUUGGACUUUCUGCUGCCUUGUGUUGCAGAAACAGGUCAGCAGCCCCUUUCCAACAAGGCUCAUUUUUAUUGCAUUGUCUGACUUAUUGUUUCAAUCUUCCCUUCUCUGCUGCCAGACCUGCUUCAACUUGGGGUUCAUCACCUUGGGUUUUUUCUCGCUUCCCCAUGAACAGUCAUCUUCUCACAAAGGCCCUCCUUGGCUGCUAUAGCUUAAUAUGCCUCACACUUUUCAUCUUGUGUUUUUAUUUUUUUUUCUUAGUGUUCCUUACUACAGAAAUCAUCUUAGAUGUCAACUGCAUGUUGUUUGUCAGCACCUGACCACGAGACUCCAGAGGAGUUGUUUUUCUCUCCCCUGUUGUGGUGCUCAGCACUGAGUCUUGUCACAUAGUGAGAAGCAUGGUUCCAUAUGAAGGGACCUGAAUAGAUGGCAGAUAGCCUUCUCUAGCCAGCCCCACUCUAGGGGUCUGACCCUGAUACUGUUAACAAUGCUAAUUGCUGCAACCUGUGGCUUUCUUUCCAUGUGCAGGGACUGGCUACCUAAAAUACUUCAUUUCAGAGAGACUCAGUAAAUCUUCAUGGCAACCCUAGAAGAGAACAUUCCCCUUUACAACUAGGACCUAAGGCCUAGAUACAUUAUGUUAUUUGUCCUAAGUCACUUAAAUUUUUUUUAAACUAUAAUGGAAAUAGUUUGUUCUGGGCAGAACUGGUGUUUGCACCCCAAAGAGGGGACUUCCUGUCCCUCGAGGUACUGUUGCCUGGUGCUGGGGAACAUUACGUCUUCAAAGCAUGCCAUUUUCAUUGCCAGAGGGUGACAGCAUAUGACUAGAUACGAUGAUAAGUGACAAUUUUCUUCACACUUUUUUUAGUGAUUGGUUAGAAUAGAACUCUGGAUUCAAUAUGAUUAAAAGCUUCAUUCUUCCAUGAAUGGGGUGAACAGGGUGGGAUGUCCUGUGGAAUAUCUCCCACUGGACUGAAUUUUUCCAGGAAGUCUCAUGUGAGCUGUGUCCUGCUCUCCGCAGUGUCCUUGUCCACACUGGUUGGUGUAAUUUGGGGGAGUGGGAAGUUUUACAGUGCCCAGGUUUACCUGUUUACAGAUGUCUCUGGCUGCACCUGCAGAAACAGCCUCUGCUCUGUGGGGGGGAAUGUCAGAGGGCCCUCUUUCUUUUGGUUCUCUGGGGUGCUGUUUCUGAGCAGCAGUGGGACUGAGCUGGUCAGUGGAGCAUCUGAAGCAGUUCCAGGCAAGGUGGGGUGUGGGGCUAGGUUGGCCAAAGUGUUGGGGCCCCUUGGCCAGGUCUCCCCAGUGGGCCAGCUGUGUUCUUCCCACACCUUUAGAAGCCUGAGGAUCUGAGUAGUGUGCCUUGGAUGAGUCAACUGGCCUCUGGUUCUGUCUAUGCAUGGUUCCAGGGUGGGCAUAGCCAUCCCUUCUUGUUCUUGAGCAGGGAUCAGGGAGGGGUGCAUUCUACCUUGUUCCUGCUGCACAGCCUCUAAGAACAUGUGAAGGCUCAUUACCAAGUUCUUCCAUCCCCACAAUACUGCCCACCUCCUGUCUGCCCUUGCCAUCCCAUAGGACAUGGCAGUUGCUGUUCUCUCUGGGUGUGGGUCCAAGCUCCCAGUUGCCCUUGGACAGUGUGCUGUUGGGGAGGGAGGCUUGGGCUUGACCAGAGCCUGUGAAAGGACCAGGAGACUGAUGCUAAGCUGAGGGCUGUCCACAUGUGUACAGGCUGCUGCCUCAGGAGGAAGGUAGUCACCUUGUCUUCCAGCCUGGCCCAGUCUGUCAGCAGGAGAGGGUAGCUUUCUUUGGCAUGGGACAGGAGCACCACUUGCUCUCUACCUUUUUCCUCCCUGUCCGUUCGUGGGGACUUGCUGCCAUUCAGGUCUGCCCCAGGGUGCUCUGCUUUCUGCCAGGACCUGGGCAGCUGUUGGUGUGAUCAUGGGUUGAGGAGUGGGCAGUGUAAGUGGGGGUAGUUCUGGGACUAUUCAGGGGCCCAGCUGAAGCUGGACCCUUCCUGUGCCCUUGAAUAGCCUUCCUUGCUCAGCCCUUCACUUGGGAAGAGGAGAGGGCCUGGUAGAGUGUGACUUUCAGUUACAGCAUCUCCUUCCUGCCUGCAGCAGGUCAAUGGCCAACAAGGAGGGGGGUCCGAGCCAGCAGCGGCGGCAGUGGUGGCAGCGGGAGACAAAUGGAAACCUCCACAGGUACUGAUCUCAAGCAUCCUCUCCCUCAGGCCGCCUGUCUGCCCGCCCGCCUGUCUGCCCGCCCGCCUGCCUGCCCGCCUACCCGCCUGCCUGCAUGUCCCUGGGGCCAGAGAGGCCUGGCUAGGGCAGGUGGGGAGAAGCCCAGGGAUCCUUCCCUGCCUUCUGAGCAGACAUCGUCUGCAAGACUGUGGCCCAUCCCUGAGCCUCUCCUGAUCCCUCCCCACCCUAUUUCUGGCCUGGCUUCUCUCCUAUGGGUCUCUCCUGCCUCAAGCCCUGGUCAGGGCCUGGCAGUGGGCUGGCUGGGCAGGGGCAUUGGGUACUGCACUUUAGCUGUGCUUGCUCCUUGCUGCCAACUUGGUGCAGAAGGGGGUAGACUUUCUGUUGCAAGACAGGCAAUGUUUUGUUUAGAGCCAGAAGUACAGAUUUUCAUUUUAGUUUUGUUUUUAUUUAGACAACAAAACAACAUACAAAGUCAAAGCACAAGUGUGGGAAUCCAGCCCCCACCUUCUCUGCAUCCCAGGCUCAGGGUGGGUGAAACAGGUCUUGUCCUGCUCUAGUAAAAUGGCCCAUGGGAGCAAGCCCUCUGGGAAGUGGAGCUGGGCUCUGUUGUCACUGGGUGACAGUUUUCUUUGUGCCUGUCUGUGGCUGUACCUGCCACCAGAGGGUUCUGGCAGGCCUCUUGGGCCUAGUCCCUCCUCCUGGCCCCCAGGCACCCUCAGGAGUGGGACAGGGGUGUGGUGUGUCACCUAGACCCUGGGAAGCUUUGGGUCUGAAGCUCCAACCCCAGCUGCUGUCCAGCAGCCAUUGGUGGGUGGGAGAAGGGCCUUUUGUUCACCAAGACAAAGAGGAGAUUGAAAAGUUUCUAGGGGGUGAGGGGAACUGGCAUUGAUUUCCAUGGUGACAGCCUGCUCUAGCAUUCCAGCUUCUGCUUGGGCCCUCUCCCACUAAGGAGGAAUGGGCUUGGGGCCAGCUGGGAGGGCAAAGAAAGGCCUAGUAUGAGCCAUACUGCAGCUCACCCACUGCCAGACCUUGCUAUAUCUUGGGGCCUGCUUGCAGUUCUGGUUGCCCAGGAAGGCCUUCUAGCCUUCUUACCUUUUGACCUUGGGCUAGAAACCCCGCACUCAGGAGUCCAGGAUGGGGGUCUUAGAGUUUGGGUCAGCUGAACCCUGCUGGCUUUCUUUGAUCCCCAGCCGUUGCUCCCACUCAUGGUCUGGAUUCUUUCCUCUCUUUCCCUCUCAAGGCUGUGUCUGGAAGCCGGGAAGGGUGUUGGUCUUUUGAGUUGGUAGGCAGGCAGGCAGGCUCUGUCCACCCUCCAUCCCACCACCCCCGCUCUGCUGGCUCUAGUGCUGGGCUUCUCUCCCUGCUUGGAUGGCUGUGUCCCCCUGCAAAAACCUGGAAGUGGAUUAGACAAAAGGAAUGUAAACAUGACCCUAAACAUAAUCCACUUAGGUUCGCAGCCUGCUGUGGCGAGCCCACCCCUGCCCAAGUGCCUCCUGGUUUGUUGACGUGGUUGGCUGGGUGCUGUCUCCCUGGGGUUGCUCUGUUCCUGGUUCUCCCAGGGGGCUUAGCACAUCGUGAAGUCUGAUAGAGGCAGGCUGGAGCCCCCUUAGGGCUCAUGUGGCCUGGGAGUGCUUAGACUCUGUGAUGUGUGCACAGGGCCUUGUCUGUAGGGCCAAGGAUGGACAUUGUCAGGAAGGAGGCCCUUUGUCUGUACUUGCUCCUUGGCCGGCCCCUGGAACUCGAAGCUGUGUCUGUGUCCAUAACAGGGGCUGUGAACAAUCUUAAGAGGCCAGGAUGCCAGGUGGCAUAGGAGUAAGGAGUCCCUGAAUGCCCUGAAAAUACCAGCCCUACUCCUCCUUCCCUGGAAAACAGCUAGCCUGGAUCCCCUGCAGGAGGUGGGGUGGAAGCUCUGGGAGCAGUCUGGCAACGAGGGCUGGCUCCUUUCCUAUCACCCCCUACCUGCCUGGGUAGCUCCUAAGGAGUCUUCUGUGGUCUGGGCCCCUUAACUGCUUCAGGAUGGUGCCAGGGCCCCCAGAGUACCCACUUGCCUCAGUCUAUGUUCCACCCAUGGGUCCUGGGGGAGAAAGGCCUAGGAUGGGGACAGCAGAGUUAGAAGGGGGUCCUAUAUCCACGCAGUCAGUAGACAGCCUGGUUUUGGGCUGGUCCCUCCCUGGGAAGAGGCUGGGGAGAUGGAGGGUGGGGUUUCUGGGACCACACAAGGGAGACCUGAGCCUGCUGCUACAUGACUCCCUUGCUUCACCUUCUAGGGCACAGAUUCCAUCAAGAUGGAGAAUGGACAGAGCACAGCCGCCAAGCUGGGGCUGCCUCCCCUGACGCCUGAGCAGCAGGAGGCCCUCCAGAAGGUGAGCACCUUCCUCCAGAGCCUGUGGGCAUGGCUGCUGAGCUGGGUGAGUGGGGGCACACCAUCUCCCUGCGGGCGGGCCCCCCAGUGCUCCUCACUGCUGUCUCUCGCAGGCCAAGAAGUAUGCCAUGGAGCAGAGCAUCAAGAGCGUGCUGGUGAAGCAGACCAUCGCACACCAGCAGCAGCAGCUCACCAACCUGCAGGUGAGCCCCACCACUCUCCCUCCACCCCACUUCACUGUCUCGGGGGCUGGCUCUGCUGGAGGCUGUCCUGCCCAGCCUGGGCCAGGAGGCCUCCACUGCCCCUCCCCAUCACCUACACCAUCUCCUCCUCCUCCUUCUCUUCCUCCUCCUGUGCCUGUGGCCAUCCCCUAAAGGUGUUAUGAUUCUCAUACUCUCAAGGACUCAUUCUCAAGAUCCCAGGGUCCUCCCUGAGGCUCCAGCGGCCCAGCUUUUCUGCCUGUUGCUCACUAUGGCCCCUUCUCACCUGCCUCCCUGCUCCUUCUCUGUAGCUCUGCCCCAUUCACCCUUGGGGUCUCCCCCACACCCUUGUCCCCCAGGCUGUGCACAGCUAUAGUGGCACUGUGUAGGGUAUGUCCUCCCUACCCCCAUGGUCAGGCCCCACCCUUCUGCAUCCAGACCACCUGGGCUGGGACCCAGGACUGAGGGGACAGUCUAGGGGUGCCUCACUGGGCCAUGCUCUAGACUAGAGGCUGUGCUUUCUGUGUGGGGCCAGUAGGUUCCUGGGCCUUGUGCCCUCCCCCUGCCCAGGCCAGUCCUCAGACAUUCACGCUGCCAGGAGAUGUCCUGGCUGUUCACCGUGCUCCAUCAGUCCCUCUCCUCCCUCCCUCCCUUCCUUCUGCCCUGGCCAGUCCUGCUGCAAAGUCUGCAGGGCAGGGCACCUGGGGCUCUGCGGCCCCCCUGGGCAGGUGCCGUUGCAGUGUGGGAAGGCAGGCGGGCCUCCCUGGCAGGGCGGGGACUCCGGGCCUGGCCGCUGUCUGCGUGAGGUGUUGACGAGAGCGGGAGACUGCUCGGCUCCAACAGACUGAACUCUGUCUUUACUGUCUUUCAGAUGGCAGCAGUGACAAUGGGCUUUGGAGAUCCUCUCUCACCUUUGCAAUCGGUCAAUAGAAAUGCUCACUUCUUCCGGGGCUCAUGUCCUUAGUCAGGGCUAGAGGGGGGCAGUGCAGCCCACUGCUGGGGACCUUGCUCCCCUGGCCGGCCCUGCCCGUCAGCUCUGGACGAGCACAGCAGAGCGCCAGGCAUGGCGGGGCCAGUGGUGUGGGCACCCACCCCGGGACCGCCCCUGGGGAGGCCUCCAUCUGCUCUGAGGGCCCGCCUUAAAACUAACCGGCCAGGUAACUGCAGAGGGCAGCCGCGGCAGCCAGCCAGGGAGGGUAGCUGCCGGUGCCAGGCUCGUCUGUGCCCUGCUGCCCCACGCAGGGUGCACCACGGGCCACCAGGUCGCCAGUCUCCAGGCUGCCUAGGCUCUUGGGUUGGGCUGAAGACCCUGAGGAGAGAGGGGUCCUGACUUGUGGCCCCAUCAGACCCUGGAGGGAGGACGGAGGGGAGGUGGGGGGUGGGGGGAUGAGUGAGUGAGAAAGGGAAGGGCGAAGAUUUGGGCCAUGGGCCUGGGCUGUCAGCAAGGUCUAGAGGCCAAGGAGGAGGCAGAGGCCAUAGCUGCGGGGCUGCAGCAAGCAGAGUCUUUUCCUGCCCCACAGGCAGUCUGAGGCGGCCAGACACCAUCCUGGGGAGGAUCCUGAGGGGGAGAUAUGGCCCUUUCUCUGGGGGCCAUUUGGAGGACUUGGGCCAAUCCUGAGCGAGCUUCCCUCAUUGGGGAGACACUGUGUGUCAGAAAGGCAGCUGUCGACCCUCUGAAGACACCUGGGCUAUGGGGGUUGUGGUCAGGGAGAAAGCUGUUUGCCCACCUGUAGAUGGGGAGUCCCACCUUGAAGGGGAGGCAUGGCCCUUUCUUGGGGAACAUAGGCCUGAGGGACAGAUGGGGCUUCAUCUUGAUGUAAGCGGAAGCCUGGGGCCUAUUUGUUAGGGAACCCAGUUUGAGGAGGGAAGAGUCAAGUUUUCAGAGACUUGCUAGUUUGAGGGAAGGUCGUCCCAACCAUGGGGAGUCUGUGUUGGGCAGCUAGACUCUAAGGGAGGGGCCAGGCCUGUGCCAGGCUUUUUGACACAGAUAGGAGUAAACUGGUCUCUGCUGGGAACCUUCACAAGGGCCAGGGGAGCCCUUGUUCGUGUUCAGGCAGGGUCCUGGGGCGUGUCUUCCUGUGGCCCACAGUGCUUGGCUCUGGAACUCCCUGCCUGGCACAGCUGUGAGGUGGCAGGGGAGAGAUCCCCAUUCUUGAGGGUUCAGGGAGGUUCCUCAACGCAGUGGCCCAGCCCACAACCAAGGCUUGCCAGUUUCCCAGCUCCAGGGAGCCCCAAGGUUUCUCAGUUGGGUUCUCCGCUGCCUCAUGACACUUCUGGGGACCAGGCCAGUGGCUCUUGCCUGUGCUCUUGUGGCUCCAGGCGUAGGCUCUAGCAGCUCUUUUUAGAGGGGAGCGGGGCGUUGGGAUGGGAAGAGUAUAGGUCACUGAGCCCCUGCCUGAGUUGGUCCCGCACGAGCGACUAUUCCUCGUUCUCUCCAGGGAGCCCCCGUCUGGGCUCCUGAACUCCCCUGGGGUUUCUUCUGGGCAGUGGCUGCCCCGUCUUCUGUCACCCUCUCUUCUGGCCUCCAUGCCAGCCAGUCCCUCCAGCUUGGAUGACUCCUCCUUCCCUUUUCUGUUGCAGUACUUGGCUGGGAAGGUGGGAGGAUCUCCCAGCCCGGCCCGGGGUACCUGACCCUGGGACUGGAGGGUGAGCGUGGUGGGAGGGCGCAGAGCCCUGCCUCCUGGCCACCAGUCAGUUUUGCAGCUGCAGUCUGCCUGGGACUGGGCGGGCUGGGCUCGUCUGUGUACUGCUGUUGGGCCUGGCCUUCUUCAGGGUGGGGUCCUGCUGACCCCUGUGCCCUGACUUUAGGGGCCAAGCCUGCAUCUUGCUGCUGGGUGGGGAUCACUCCCCACCGCAGAGUUCAUGGGGCAGGUGGGUGGGCCAGGAGGGGAGAGGGCUGCUAAGCCCCUUGCCUGCCUCCCUGACAAGCCAGUGGCGCUCUCUCCUUCUGUUCUGCUAUAGAUGGCAGCUCAGCGGCAGCGGGCACUGGCCAUCAUGUGCCGGGUCUACGUGGGCUCCAUCUACUAUGAGCUAGGGGAGGACACCAUUCGCCAGGCCUUUGCCCCUUUUGGCCCCAUCAAAAGCAUUGACAUGUCCUGGGAUUCUGUCACUAUGAAGCACAAGGUGAGCAGACUAGGUCUACCCCAGUUGCCUUGGCCUACCCUCCUUGGGGUUCUUCCAAGCCUGAUAGGGUUUCCUGUGUCUAGGGCUUUGCCUUUGUGGAAUAUGAAGUCCCAGAAGCUGCACAGCUGGCCUUGGAGCAGAUGAACUCAGUGAUGCUGGGAGGCAGGAACAUCAAGGUGAGGGUGUGGGUGCAGGUGUUGGGCUUUUGGGCCUUGAGAAUGUUCUGUCUAGUCUCCCAGAUGUGUCGAGCAACCUCACAGAAGCCUGCUGUGACUAAGUCUGACAGGUGCUCUCGGUCCCUUCCCCUUCCCCAGGUGGGUAGGCCCAGCAACAUAGGGCAGGCCCAGCCCAUCAUCGACCAGCUGGCUGAGGAGGCACGGGCCUUCAACCGUAUCUACGUGGCCUCCGUGCACCAGGACCUCUCGGAUGAUGACAUCAAGAGUGUGUUUGAGGCCUUUGGCAAGAUCAAGUCUUGCACACUAGCCCGGGACCCCACAACUGGCAAGCACAAGGGCUACGGCUUCAUUGGUGAGCUGGGGGUGCUGAGGAGAGGUGGGGGCCCACCUGGUGCUGGGACUGGCCCUCCUCACUGCUGCUCCUGCCCUGCAGAGUACGAGAAGGCCCAGUCGUCCCAGGAUGCUGUGUCCUCCAUGAACCUCUUUGAUCUGGGUGGCCAGUACUUGCGGGUGGGCAAGGCUGUCACACCCCCCAUGCCCCUGCUAACACCUGCCACCCCAGGAGGCCUUCCGCCUGCUGCCGCUGUGGCCGCAGCUGCAGCCACAGCCAAGAUCACAGCUCAGGUGAGGGGGUGGACAGGUGCUCUAGUCAUUUGGGAGCCAGCUCUUGAUAUGGUCUUGGGUGGAGGUAGCCAGACUGGGGACUGAGUGUGGUUGCCUUCUGGGUUGCAGGAAGCAGUGGCUGGAGCAGCUGUGUUGGGUACCUUGGCAACACCUGGACUGGUGUCCCCAGCACUGACCUUGGCUCAACCCCUAGGGGCUCUGCCCCAGGCUGUCAUGGCUGCCCAAGCUCCUGGAGUCAUCACAGGUGAGUCUGAGUAGGCCAAGGCUCUCCAGGCAUUCCUGCCCCUCAUUUCUAGGCUCUCUGCCUUCACCUGCCCAGGGUGGGCUGGCCAUGGCGACCAGCUCUGCUUCCUGCUAAGGUGGGGGUUGUGGGGAUAGCUGCUGGACCUGGUUGGUUUUGCUGCAGGUGUGACCCCGGCCCGUCCUCCCAUUCCGGUCACCAUCCCCUCUGUGGGGGUGGUGAACCCCAUCCUGGCUAGCCCCCCAACACUGGGUCUCCUGGAGCCCAAGAAGGAGAAGGAAGAGGAGGAGCUGUUUCCUGAGUCUGAACGGCCAGAGAUGCUAAGUGAGCAGGAGCACAUGAGCAUCUCUGGCAGCAGUGCCCGCCACAUGGUCAUGCAGAAGCUGCUGCGCAAGCAGGAGGUGGGUGAACAGACCCUGGGUCGGGAUGUAGGGGUGGGGAACAUCUAGGCAGGCCACAGUGCUCAGCUGUCUCCUCCCCACAGUCCACAGUGAUGGUUCUCCGCAACAUGGUGGAUCCCAAGGACAUCGAUGAUGACCUGGAAGGAGAGGUGACAGAGGAGUGUGGCAAGUUUGGUGCUGUCAACCGUGUCAUCAUCUACCAAGAGAAGCAGGGUGAAGAGGAGGAUGCAGAAAUAAUUGUAAAGAUUUUUGUGGAGUUUUCCAUGGCCUCAGAGACUCACAAGGCCAUCCAGGCCCUCAACGGGCGCUGGUUCGCUGGCCGCAAGGUGGUGGCUGAAGUGUAUGACCAGGAGCGUUUUGAUAACAGUGACCUGUCUGCGUGACCUUGGGCCAGUUUUCUGGACUUGCACUUGUUCCUUGUUUCCUCUGGGUUUUAUAGUGAUAAACAGUGGUGUCCCUGGGACCAGGCACUCGGCUCUACCAAGCCCAACCUGUAGUGUGCAUAAAGUGCAGAUGCUGCUGGCCCUGAGCAUCCCUGUGUCCGGUGGUCC